GGGUCGAGGGUGUGACAGAUUUUCCUUUUGAUUUUAUCUGAAAGGAGCUUAAGCUCAAGUGGAAUGUGAGUGGGUAGCUCUAUGUUUGACCUCUUUUAGAGGCUCUCCUAGUGUUCAAAUUAUCUUUUGAGAAGGAUAAGAACCAGAUACUUAAUAGAGGACCUUGGUCCUUAGCCAGCUAACUUCUGGCUUUAGAGAACUUGUGACCUAAUUUCAAACCCAACCAUGAUAGCAUUUAGUGUUAGAUGUAUCUUUAGAAGCCAAUCG
RNAcentral lists this long non-coding RNA (267 nucleotides) under Elaeis guineensis (African oil palm). Its description in RNAcentral is "long non-coding RNA (EGUI_LNC019848)". Lineage: Eukaryota; Viridiplantae; Streptophyta; Magnoliopsida; Arecales; Arecaceae. The record is from RNAcentral.